RNAcentral lists this non-coding RNA (29 nucleotides) under Rattus norvegicus (Norway rat). Lineage: Eukaryota; Metazoa; Chordata; Mammalia; Rodentia; Muridae. The record is from RNAcentral.
UUGUAUUGGAAACUAUAAGUUUCUAGUAA